UGUGUAGGCGGCUUUUUAAGUUUGGUGUGAAAUCUCCCGGCUCAACUGGGAGGGUGCGCCGAAAACUGAAAGGCUAGAGUGCGGGAGAGGAGAGUGGAAUUCCUGGUGUAGCGGUGAAAUGCGUAGAUAUCAGGAGGAACACCGGUGGUGUAGACGGCUCUCUGGACCGUAACUGACGCUGAGACACGAAGGCGUGGGUAGCAAACAGGAUUAGAUACCCUGGUAGUCCACGCCCUAAACGAUGCAUAUUUGGUGUGGGUCAUUCAGUUGAUCCGUGCCGGAGCUAACGCGUUAAAUAUGCCGCCUGGGGAGUACAGUCGCAAGGCUGAA
This 330-nucleotide ribosomal RNA is filed under the name uncultured bacterium. RNAcentral describes it as "bacterial SSU rRNA". It matches the Rfam family "Bacterial small subunit ribosomal RNA", at positions 568 to 898 of the family's 1533-position model. The record is from RNAcentral.